AGAACUUAGCAGAGAUGCUUUGGUGCCUUCGGGAACUCUGAGACAGGUGCUGCAUGGCUGUCGUCAGCUCGUGUUGUGAAAUGUUGGGUUAAGUCCCGCAACGAGCGCAACCUUAUCCUUUGUUGCCAGCGGUUAGGCCGGGAACUCAAAGGAGACUGCCAGUGAUAAACUGGAGGAAGGUGGGGAUGACGUCAAGUCAUCAUGGCCCUUACGAGUAGGGCUACACACGUGCUACAAUGGCGCAUACAAAGAGAAGCGACCUCGCGAGAGCAAGCGGACCUCAUAAAGUGCGUCGUAGUCCGGAUUGGAGUCUGCAACUCGACUCCAUGAAGUCGGAAUCGCUAGUAAUCGUGGAUCAGAAUGCCACGGUGAAUACGUUCCCGGGCCUUGUACACACCGCCCGUCACACCAUGGGAGUGGGUUGCAAAAGAAGUAGGUAGCUUAACCUUCGGGAGGGCGCUUACCACUUUGUGAUUCAUGACUGGGGUGAAGUCGUAACAAGGUAGGCGUAGUGCU
Molecule: ribosomal RNA, 516 nt
Filed under: uncultured bacterium
Lineage: Bacteria
Description: bacterial SSU rRNA
Rfam family: Bacterial small subunit ribosomal RNA
Source: RNAcentral